GCGAGCGUAGCCAAGUGGUUAAGGCAGUGGUUUGUGGUACCACCAUUCCGCGGGUUCAAGUCCCGUCGUUCGCC
RNAcentral lists this transfer RNA (74 nucleotides) under Anabaena cylindrica PCC 7122. RNAcentral describes it as "tRNA-His (GTG) (tRNA-His-GTG-1-1)". It matches the Rfam family "tRNA". Rfam says of the family: Transfer RNA (tRNA) molecules are approximately 80 nucleotides in length. Their secondary structure includes four short double-helical elements and three loops (D, anti-codon, and T loops). Further hydrogen bonds mediate the characteristic L-shaped molecular structure. tRNAs have two regions of fundamental functional importance: the anti-codon, which is responsible for specific mRNA codon recognition, and the 3' end, to which the tRNAs corresponding amino acid is attached (by aminoacyl-tRNA synthetases). tRNAs cope with the degeneracy of the genetic code in two manners: having more than one tRNA (with a specific anti-codon) for a particular amino acid; and 'wobble' base-pairing, i.e. permitting non-standard base-pairing at the 3rd anti-codon position. Lineage: Bacteria; Bacillati; Cyanobacteriota; Cyanophyceae; Nostocales; Nostocaceae. RNAcentral also lists the same sequence under 4 other names. The record is from Rfam by way of RNAcentral.